This 420-nucleotide long non-coding RNA is filed under the name Ananas comosus (pineapple). RNAcentral describes it as "long non-coding RNA (ACOM_LNC022816)". Lineage: Eukaryota; Viridiplantae; Streptophyta; Magnoliopsida; Poales; Bromeliaceae. The record is from RNAcentral.
AGAGCAGAUGAUAAAAGGAAACAUGUGAGAGGUCAUUAAUUUCUUACAGUAACUCCGCGAAGAGUUGAGUUAAAAUACUUUUACAAGUAUCAAGUCUUCGGUAUUUUCAUGUCAUUUCGAAUGAUGGGCCAUCCAAAUUGAUGAUCCACAUUAUUAAAUAUAAUCUAUUGUGCGUUAAUCUUCUAGUCGAAGACAUCUCAAAAUUAGUAACUUUCACCGGCAUAUGUAAAGUGCAUUUAUGACUGCUUGAUCACUAGAUAAAUAAUUUUAAAAAUUCAUGAAAUGUCGUUUUAAGAAAGUUAUGUGCUAUAGAUUAUAUUUGACACCUUCGAUCGUCGAUUUGGAUACCCUCGUCGAAUGCAAUGUUGAAGUAUGGAAAAUGUGAUGCUCCUAAAAGUUAUUCUGACUCAAUAAACCCUA